Molecule: long non-coding RNA, 579 nt
Filed under: Helianthus annuus (common sunflower)
Lineage: Eukaryota; Viridiplantae; Streptophyta; Magnoliopsida; Asterales; Asteraceae
Description: sRNA HanXRQr2_Chr07g0294091
Source: RNAcentral
GCCACCAUUCGUUUCUUCCUACUCAGCUAUCGUCCGUAUAAGUUUACAUAUGAGAGACUACUUGCACAAGAAGAUCAAGGUCGUACCAAUAUUCAGAUCGUGUCGCCUUCUUUUUCUUCGUUGUUAAUGGCCUUACCUCAUGAAGGAAAAGCAAUUAGCUUCAUAAAGGAAGAAGUCCUCCAAAGGUUUGCGGGUUUAGAGAUUGUCUGAUGCGUUGGAUUUUGGAAUCUAUCGGUGGGGACAAGGGAGUGAAAGCUAUCGGUAAAAAAAUAGAGUUUAACAAAUUGCUGUUAACCGUUCGUAAAUAUUCUGCGUUUUGAUAUUUACAUAUGUAGGGAUGGUUUUGAAUCAUGACCAUGAUGUGUUGUUGACCAUUACUUUAUUACUGAUUGUUUAGAUAAUAUAUCUUUGGGCCGUAUUUGAUGCUUACUUUGGUGUUGGUGUUUUUGAUCUUUAACUUUAAGAUCAUCCUUUCAUUUCAUUGAUUUUGAAGAACAAAGUGGUUUUGUUAAGUGUAAUAUGUGCUCUCUUUGGGUCACAUAUUGAAAGGUUAAACGCCACAUCAUAAUCAUAUAUAAU